RNAcentral lists this ribosomal RNA (1502 nucleotides) under uncultured prokaryote. RNAcentral's name for it is "partial 16S ribosomal RNA". It matches the Rfam family "Bacterial small subunit ribosomal RNA". The record is from RNAcentral.
AGAGUUUGAUCCUGGCUCAGAAUGAAGGUUUGCGGCGUUGAUUAGGCAUGCAAGUCGCGCGACAAGCCUCCUUUUGAAGCUUCGGUUGAUUAUUAGGGUGGAAAGUGGCGAAAGGGAGAGUAACGCGUAGAUAUCUACCCCUAGAUCUGGGAUAGCGUCGGGAAACUGGCGGUAAUACUGGAUAAUGUCUCCGGACUAAAGGUGUAAUUCCGUCUAGGGAUGGGUCCGCGUCCUACUAGCUUGUUGGUGGGGUAAUGGCCUACCAAGGCAAUGAUGGGUAGCGGGUGUGAGAGCAUGACCCGUCUCACUGGGACUGAGACACUGCCCAGACACCUACGGGUGGCUGCAGUCGAGAAUCUUCCGCAAUGGACGAAAGCCUGACGGAGCGACGCCGCGUGCGGGAUGAAGGCCUUCGGGUUGUAAACCGCUGUCAGUUGGGAGGAAAUGCUAUGGGGCAAUCUUCAUAGUUUGACCGAUCUUCAGAGGAAGUCCGGGCUAAGUUCGUGCCAGCAGCCGCGGUAAGACGAACCGGACAAACGUUAUUCGGAAUCACUGGGCUUAAAGAGUGCGUAGGCGGCUUGGUAGGUUGGGUGUGAAAUCCCACAGCUCAACUGUGGAACUGCGCUCAAAACCACAAAGCUUGAGGGAAGCAGAGGUAAGCGGAACUGAUGGUGGAGCGGUGAAAUGCGUUGAUAUUAUCAGGAACACCAGUGGCGAAGGCGGCUUACUGGGCUUCUUCUGACGCUGAGGCACGAAAGCUAGGGUAGCGAACGGGAUUAGAUACCCCGGUAGUCCUAGCUGUAAACGAUGAGCACUUGUUCGAGGGGACUUCCACAUCCUCUCGGACGUAGCGAAAGUGUUAAGUGCUCCGCCUGGGGAGUAUGGUCGCGAGGCUGAAACUCAAAGGAAUUGACGGGGGCUCACACAAGCGGUGGAGGAUGUGGCUUAAUUCGAGGCUACGCGAAGAACCUUAUCCUGGUCUUGACAUGCUUGGGAAUACCCUGGAAACAGGGUAGUGCCUUCGGGAGCCCUUGCACAGGUGCUGCAUGGCUGUCGUCAGCUCGUGUCGUGAGAUGUCGGGUUAAGUCCCUUAACGAGCGAAACCCUUGUCCCUAGUUGCCAGCGAGUUAUGUCGGGGACUCUAGUGAGACUGCCGGUGUUAAACCGGAGGAAGGUGGGGAUGACGUCAAGUCCUCAUGGCCUUUAUGAUCAGGGCUGCACACGUCCUACAAUGCACCUUACAAAGGGAAGCGACCUCGCGAGAGCAAGCAAAUCCCAAAAAACGCGGCUCAGUUCGGAUUGCAGGCUGCAACUCGCCUGCAUGAAGCCGGAAUCGCUAGUAAUCGUGGGUCAGCAUACCACGGUGAAUAUGUUCCUGAGCCUUGUACACACCGCCCGUCAAGCCACGAAAGUGGGGUGCGCCCGAAGUCGCUGCAGCAACUAGCAAUAGAGCAAAGCGCCGAAGGUGAACUCCGCGAUUGGGACUAAGUCGUAACAAGGUA